GUGCUCUCUUCGGCAGCACAUAUACUAAAAUUGGAAGGAUACAGAGAAGAUUAGUAUGGCCCCUGCACAAGGAUGACAUGCAAAUUCGUGAAGCGUUCCAUAUUUAA
Molecule: small nuclear RNA, 107 nt
Organism: Panthera leo (lion)
Lineage: Eukaryota; Metazoa; Chordata; Mammalia; Carnivora; Felidae
Source: Ensembl